AACCAUUCCCCACAAAUACACUACUGUGUCACGAAUCUGACCGCAGACGAAUUUCUACCGGGAUCUUCCUUCUUCAAAGUUUUCGUUUUGGCGCGCCUUUAUUUUGUUUUUCCGCCAUUUCUGCGAUCCCCAUUUUCAAAAAGUGAGAAGAAAUAAAAAUAAAAAAAAACACAGCGGAGAGCAAAACCAAAUGAGAAAAUCCGUGAGUCCCAAUUCUCAUUUCAUAAAUCGAUCGCAUUCCUAAUGAGGUAUUAGCAAAACCCUAAGUCCAAAAUGUCCACCUGGCACAUGUUCUCCGACGCCGCCGGCGGCAAUUUCCGGUGGCGAAUAUCCGGUCCCGACCCUAAUACCCCACCGCCGGACGCGGCCUUCUAUUCGGACAACGAAAAUCUCAGCUCAAGCACUCGCCUGCCUUCCAUGUCCGAUCUGUUGCUUCAAGGCUGUUCAAAACUCGCGGCGGAGAGUCAGAGAAAUCACGACGCAGGUGUUGCCAUGUUUCGCAAUGGAUUCGGAAGAUCCGUUUCCGUCAAGCCGUCGUCGUUAGCCAAAGCGGCGUCGCUUCUGAACUCCGAAUCAGGCCGAAUGAAAGGUAUAGAAAGUGAGAGUAGAGGUGGUUUCGGUGAUUCCCUUUUCCAGACUGCCUCUGGGAAGAUGGUUAAUAUAUCUUCCAAAGGUCUUGUCAAGGCCAAGAGAUUGCUUGGUUUGGAAGAUGAUAAUGGUGACUGUAAUCUUCCCGGUUUCAGCAGUGCCGGGGUUAAGGAUGCUGUAUCGGUUUCAAGGUCUUCAUUGAAUCAUACGACUGGUUCAGUGCAAACUGGGUUAACGAAUGUGUCCAAUCUGAAUUCUGUGCAAGCUGAAGUGCCUAGUACAGCUCGUACACCUUCAUCAGUCAAGUUACAUACACCCGGAGGGAGAUCAACUUCUGUUUCUAGUGAUGCAUUUAAGACAGGUUCUGUGCAGAGUAGAUGUAAGAAUGAGUCUAACCAGAAUUUUAUGCAAUCCGAGAUGACUAAUUCAGUUUCUACACUUUCAUCAGUCCAGUUACAUACACCCAGUGGUAGAACUUUGUCUGUUUCAACUGAUGCACACAAGACUGGUUCAGUGCAAAGCAGAUUUAAGAAUGAGUCCAAACUAAAUUAUAUGCAAUCCGAGCCUAGUUCAGCUUGUACGCCUUCAUCAGCCAAGCUACUUGCACCUGGAGGAAGCUCUAAAUCUCUUUCCACCGGUGCACAUAAGACUGGUUCUGUGCAAAGUGGAGUUACAAAUGAGACUGAUCCGAGUUUUAUGCAAUCCCAGAAGCCUAAUUUAGCUCCCAAACCUCCAUCAAUCAAGUUCCAUACAGCUGGAGGAAGAUCUAUAUCUGUUUCCACUGAUGCACUACAACGUGCAAGGAGUCUUCUUGGUGACCCAGACUUGGGAACUCUCCUGAAUGAGGGGAACUCAGACUUGGAUCAGACAUUUCCAAAAGGUAGAGAACAUGAUAGUCACACUGCCUCUUCCCACCAGAAAAUACCUAAGACCAAAUUUUUAACGAAGAGUUUUGUAUCUCCACUGCAAUCAUCCACUAAUCAAGUGCGGACAUCAGCAGUCAAGUCAGAUAGUACAAAUUGGGGCACUAACCUGAUCAGCCAAUUUGAUGUUGUUAGCAAUGAAAAUGCCUGCAGGUCAAAUGGUGAGUUACCUUGUGGGAAAAAACCCUUCAGCAACAAACCCCGUACCCUUACUACAGUAGAAAACAAUUAUUUGGCAAAUGGCACUGGUGAAAGGAUUAAUCCUGUUGAAAGGUCACUAGCCAAGCCAUUGGUGGAUAUUUCAAAUACCAUUGGCACCACUCCUCUGAGUAAUAUACAAAUGACUGGUGUAAAGAGGAGGCUUGGAGGAAAUUCUAUUUCUCCAUUCAAGAAGCCUCGCAUUUCCAACUUCUCCACCCCAUUGCAUAAGAAUGUUCCAUGUGUUCCUAAUGGUUUGUCUACCUUUCCGUCUGACCAUUCAAGUGGCAAAAGAAGGGUUUCUACUCGAUAUCCUGUCCUGGUGACCAGAAUGUCUUUGAAGAAAUAUUUUGGAAUGCCACCAGCAGAUCAAACCAUGGUGGACUGCAUGUCAGAUCAGGUGAGAAGAGUUACAGCAAUUAAUGCAGAAAACUACAUGUUUCCUGAUGAAUCUGGCUUAAACUACGUAGGGGCAGAAGCUUUUGUCCACAUGUUGGCUUCUUCCGGAGCCUCAACACAAAAUACUUCCAGAGAGUGGGUCAUAAAUCACUACAAGUGGAUUGUCUGGAAACUGGCUUGUUAUGAGAGAUGCUAUCCAGCUAAAGCUUUAGGAAAUUUUUUGACACUGCCCAAUGUGCUUGAAGAAUUGAAGUAUAGAUAUGAAAGAGAAGUGAAUCAUGGUCACCGCUCUGCAAUUAAGAAAAUACUGGAAGGAGAUGCAUCACCUUCUUCGAUGUUGGUCUUAUGCAUUUCAGCUAUUCGCUCAAAACCUGACCCAAAUGUGGAGACUAGCUCCGGAGCUGAAAAUAGUAGUGCCACAAAAGUUGAACUUACUGAUGGGUGGUAUUCAGUGGAUGCUAUUCUGGAUGCUCUCCUAUCAAAGCAGCUUGCUGGUGGAAAAUUGUUUGUUGGACAGAAACUUCGGAUUUGGGGAGCAGGACUCUGCGGCUGGGUUGGGCCUAUUUCACCCCUCGAGGUGUCAAGAGAAGUUAUGUUAAGGCUACACAUAAAUGGCACAUAUAGAGCUCAUUGGGAUGAUCAAUUGGGAUUUUGCAACUGUGUUGGUGCUCCGUUAGCAUUUAAGUGCAUCAAGAGCGAUGGGGGUCCAGUUCCUUGGACUCUUGUAGGAGUCACAAGGAUAUUCCCUGUUUUAUACAAAGAAAGGUUAAGUAAUGGAAGAUCUGUUGUGAGGUCGGAGAGGUUGGAGACCAAAAUGAUGCAAUCAUAUAGCCAGAGGCGCUCUAAUGUUAUUGAGGGCAUUAUUUCUGAGUUCCAAAGAGGAUUAGAACAUUCGCAUACAUGUAAUGAGAGAGAUAGUGAAGGAGCAAAACUCUUGAGGAUACUAGAGACAGCUGCUGAACCAGAAGUUUUAAUGGCAGAGAUGAGUACAGAACAAUUGAAUUCUUUUACCAAAUAUCGAGCAAAAUUAGAGGCAAUCAAGCAAUCAGACAUGGAGAAAUCAAUUAUGAAAGCACUAGAAGAUGCUGGAUUAGCUGAGAGGGAAGUGAUGCCAUUAAUGAGGGUGAGGGUAGUUGGACUAACUAGAAACUUAUAUGAAGGAGAAGACAGUCCCAAAGAAGGCUUAAUAACAAUCUGGAACCCAUCAGAGAACCAGAAGUCUGAGUUGGUCGAGGGGCAAGCAUAUACUGUUUCUGACCUUAUACCAACAAAUUUGGCUGCUGAUAUUCUAUACUUGCUAGCAAGAGGAUCCAAAACGAAAUGGAAGCCUUUAUGUCAGCAGGCAGUAGACCACUUUAAGCCCUUUUUUAGUCCUCGCAAAUCAAUACUAUUGUCAGAUUUUGGUCAAGUUCCUCUUUCCAGUGAAUUUGAUAUUGCUGCAUUCGUUGUGUUUGUGGGGGAGGUUUAUGUCGCUGGUCACCAGAAGAAACAGUGGGUGUUUGUGACAGAUGGCUCCAUUUCUGAAUCAAAGUCAGAAGAAUUAAACGAUUCUCUACUUGCCAUCUGCUUUUGUUCACCGCAUAUCGAUGAUCAAUCAGAUGUUCCUAUAAACUACAACCUCGCAGGUUCAACGGUCGGCUUUUGUAAUCUUAUCAAGAGAGCAAAGGACCAAAUGAAUGCUCUUUGGGUAGCUGAUGCUACAGAAAACUCGGCUUACUUUUUGAGUUUUGACUCUCCACAUUGUUCACAUCUCAAAGGUGCUGCUGCCUCUGCUGAAAGAUGGGGAAGAAUCUCUAGCUUGACCAUCAGUAGGCUUAAGGAGAGGGUUCUAUUUAUUAUUGGUAAAGGGUAGAUGGUGAAAGGAGCUGAUUUCAAAUGUUUUGUGUGUGCAGCAGUCUUGAUUUUGGAAACUAGAGUGCUGAGUGAACUCAAAAAUAAGAAUGCCGGUGUACAAUAUUCCAUUUGACUUGAGUUUCCACCUCAAUGCCAUCAUAGACAAGAAAUGAUUUUCGCCUAGCAUUCAAUUGAGAAAAGCUUCAACCGGGAAGUAGCAAAAGCAUGCAUGGUCAGAAGAAACUAGCUUCCACCUGAUGCCAUUUUUGAAUUGGUACUCAUACGUGGGCGUUUAUACUUCUGAAGGCAUUACAAAUUACUUAUUUAUAUCGCAGUCAAGCUAAGUAAUGCCUCCGUCUACUCGCUGAUGACCAUAGAUAUGCAAGCUUUUGUACCUCUUGUUAGGAAAAUCUGAUUUUUUGUGCUGCCCAGUAGAGAGAGGCUAACAUAUAUCAGGUUCAAACAAACAGAGGCUAACAUAGUAAUCCAUACUGUAUCCCACACUCAAGUUUCCCAUGUUUGUCAUAUAUCAUUAUAUCAUCUUUUGAGUUGGUAA
This is an RNA transcript of Rosa chinensis, 4497 nucleotides long. It is a transcript of the gene named protein BREAST CANCER SUSCEPTIBILITY 2 homolog B, with no coding region annotated. The transcript is spliced from 20 exons. NCBI's taxonomy places the organism in Eukaryota, Viridiplantae, Streptophyta, Magnoliopsida, Rosales, Rosaceae. The record is from RefSeq and is a predicted model, not a curated record.